Molecule: ribosomal RNA, 465 nt
Filed under: Vreelandella stevensii
Lineage: Bacteria; Pseudomonadati; Pseudomonadota; Gammaproteobacteria; Oceanospirillales; Halomonadaceae
Description: partial 16S ribosomal RNA
Rfam family: Bacterial small subunit ribosomal RNA
Source: RNAcentral
CCUACGGGUGGCAGCAGUGGGGAAUAUUGGACAAUGGGGGCAACCCUGAUCCAGCCAUGCCGCGUGUGUGAAGAAGGCCCUCGGGUUGUAAAGCACUUUCAGUGAGGAAGAACGCCUGGUGGUUAAUACCCAUCAGGAAAGACAUCACUCACAGAAGAAGCACCGGCUAACUCCGUGCCAGCAGCCGCGGUAAUACGGAGGGUGCGAGCGUUAAUCGGAAUUACUGGGCGUAAAGCGCGCGUAGGUGGCUUGAUAAGCCGGUUGUGAAAGCCCCGGGCUCAACCUGGGAAUGGCAUCCGGAACUGUCAAGCUAGAGUGCAGGAGAGGAAGGUAGAAUUCCCGGUGUAGCGGUGAAAUGCGUAGAGAUCGGGAGGAAUACCAGUGGCGAAGGCGGCCUUCUGGACUGACACUGACACUGAGGUGCGAAAGCGUGGGUAGCAAACAGGAUUAGAUACCCUUGUAGUC